GUCUGUGUGUGUGUUUGUGUGUGGUUGUCUGCCUGUGUGUUUGUGUGUGGCUGUCGGGCAGACAGCCACACACAAACACACAGGCAGACAGCCACACACAGAUAGC
RNAcentral lists this microRNA precursor (106 nucleotides) under Pelobates cultripes (western spadefoot toad). The record is from RNAcentral. Lineage: Eukaryota; Metazoa; Chordata; Amphibia; Anura; Pelobatidae.